GUGGGGAAUAUUGGACAAUGGGCGCAAGCCUGAUCCAGCCAUGCCGCGUGUGUGAAGAAGGCCUUCGGGUUGUAAAGCACUUUUGUCCGGGAAGAAAUCUUCCAGGUUAAUACCCUGGGAGGCUGACGGUACCGGAAGAAUAAGCACCGGCUAACUUCGUGCCAGCAGCCGCGGUAAUACGAAGGGUGCAAGCGUUACUCGGAAUUACUGGGCGUAAAGCGUGCGUAGGUGGUUCGUUAAGUCUGCCGUGAAAGCCCCGGGCUCAACCUGGGAAUGGCGGUGGAUACUGGCGGGCUAGAGUGCGGUAGAGGGUGGUGGAAUUCCCGGUGUAGCAGUGAAAUGCGUAGAGAUCGGGAGGAACAUCUGUGGCGAAGGCGGCCACCUGGACCAGCACUGACACUGAGGCACGAAAGCGUGGGGAGCAAACAGGAUUAGAAACCCGUGUAGUCC
Molecule: ribosomal RNA, 450 nt
Filed under: uncultured bacterium
Lineage: Bacteria
Description: partial 16S ribosomal RNA
Rfam family: Bacterial small subunit ribosomal RNA
Source: RNAcentral